GGUUAACGCUGGCGGCGUGCCUAACACAUGCAAGUCGAACGGUUCUAAGCGCGAGCUUAGGAUAGUGGCGAACGGGUGAGUAAAAAGGUAGGAAUCUACCCCUUGGACGGAGAUAGCUACUGGAAACGGUAGGUAAACUUCGAUAAGCCCGAGAGGGGAAAGUGGUGAGACAGCCGAGGGAUGAGCCUACUCUCCAUCAGGUAGUUGGUGAGAUAAAAGCUUACCAAGCCGAUGACGGAUAACCGGUGUGAGAGCAUGAACGGUCACAAGGGCACUGAGAGACGGGCCCUACUCCUACGGGAGGCAGCAGUGGGGAAUAUUGGACAAUGGGCGCAAGCCUGAUCCAGCCAUGCCGCGUGAGUGAUGAAGGCCUUAGGGUUGUAAAGCUCUUUUACCCGGGAAGAUAAUGACUGUACCGGAGAAUAAGCCCCGUAACUCGUG
Molecule: ribosomal RNA, 441 nt
Filed under: uncultured bacterium
Lineage: Bacteria
Description: bacterial SSU rRNA
Rfam family: Bacterial small subunit ribosomal RNA
Source: RNAcentral